AAAAUAAUCCUACCCUUUGUGAAUUUUGUUUGUUUGAAUAAUUUUUUUUUUAAAAAAUUAUUGGAGUCUUUCCCUUUAGAGUUUGCUUUUGAGUUUGUAAAAGAAUUCGAAAACAUCUAAAGGGGAUGGUCAAUAAUUUUUUUUGAAAAAAGACAUUUUUUAAAAUUAAACUUUUUGUAUUCAUUUGUCUAAAAAUUAUUUUUUAUAAUAUAAAAACAACUUUUGACAAUGGAUCUCUUUGGUUCUCGCAACGAUGAAGAACGCAGCAAAAUGCGAUAAGUAGUGUGAAUUGCAGAAUACGUGAAUCAUCGAAUCUUUGAACGCAUAUUGCACUUUUUUAGUUUACUAAAAAAGUAUGUCUGUUUGAGUAUCAGUAAAAUAUUCUCAUAAAAAUCAUUGUGUAUUUUUAUGGUUAUGAGUGUUUUACAACGAUACAAGUUGUUUCACUUUAAAUUUUUUUUUAAUAUUGAAAUUUUUCUAAUUUUAAUAAUUAAAAUUGGAUAAAAUUUUCCCGUCAAAAGGAAUAACCUAAACAAUUUUAAAUGAUUAAUUUUAGCAAAAUUUUCGAAAAAAGGGAAAUUUUUUAUUAAAACAACUUGAUCUCAAAUCAGAUAAGAGUACCCGCUGAACUUAAGCAUAUCAAUAAGCGGAGGAAAAGAAACUAACAAGGAUUCCCUUAGUAACGGCGAGUGAAGCGGGAAGAGCUCAAAUUUGAAAUCUUCAAGGUUUUACCUUGACGAAUUGUAGUUUAAAGAAGUGUUUUCUGCUGAAGUUUUGGUAAAAGUUCUUUGGAAUAGGACAUCAUAGAGGGUGAGAAUCCCGUAUUUGACCAUUAUUUUCAGCUUUGUGAUACACUUUCAAAGAGUCGGAUUGUUUGGGAAUGCAGUCCAAAAUGGGUGGUAAAUUUCAUCUAAAGCUAAAUAUUGGCGAGAGACCGAUAGCGAACAAGUACCGUGAGGGAAAGAUGAAAAAGAACUUUGAAAAGAGAGUUAAACAGUACGUGAAAUUGUCAAAAGGGAAGCGUUUUGACACCAGUGUUGUUUUCUCGAAAAUCAAUUAAAAAUGGCUCGAUUUUGUAUUGCUUGAGACCUUAAAAGCUCACUGUACAUUUUUUCGUGUCUUUUUUAAUGCACUUUUCGUUUAACAAGUCAACAUCAGUUUCUUUUGUUGUAAAAGGGUCAUUGGAAGGUGGCUUUCUUUUCGGAGAAAGUGUUUAUAGCCUUUGGCCUCUGCAAUCGGAGAGACCGAGGUCUGCAGCGUAGACUCUUCGGGGUUAGAUACAUUUGUGCUAGGUUAUAGCUUUUUAUAGACAACUUGUUGACUAUAAUUAGUCUUGUAGCUUACUCGCUUAUGCUAUUUUACCUACGCUUAGGAUG
This 1376-nucleotide unclassified non-coding RNA is filed under the name uncultured Neocallimastigales. RNAcentral's name for it is "partial contains internal transcribed spacer 1, 5.8S ribosomal RNA, internal transcribed spacer 2, and large subunit ribosomal RNA". The stretch from base 598 to 1376 matches the Rfam family "Eukaryotic large subunit ribosomal RNA", at positions 1 to 634 of the family's 3401-position model. Lineage: Eukaryota; Fungi; Neocallimastigomycota; Neocallimastigomycetes; Neocallimastigales. The record is from RNAcentral.